UACAAGCGAAUAGACCAUUUA
RNAcentral lists this non-coding RNA (21 nucleotides) under Arabidopsis thaliana (thale cress). The record is from RNAcentral. Lineage: Eukaryota; Viridiplantae; Streptophyta; Magnoliopsida; Brassicales; Brassicaceae.